CACCAGCUCCACAAGUGGGGAUCGUAUUUAUUUGGCCUAAAGCGUCCGUAGCUGGUUUUGUAAAUCUUUUGUGAAAUUGUUAGGCUUAACCUAACAGCGUGCAGGGGACACUGCAGAACUAGGGACCGGGAUGGGCUAGAGGUAUGUUGAGGGGAGCGGUAAAAUGCAAUAAUCCUCGAUAGACCACCUGUGGCGAAGGCGUCUAGCUAGAACGGGUCCGACAGUGAGGGACGAAAGCCAGGGGA
This 245-nucleotide ribosomal RNA is filed under the name uncultured archaeon. RNAcentral's name for it is "partial 16S ribosomal RNA". It matches the Rfam family "Archaeal small subunit ribosomal RNA", at positions 474 to 718 of the family's 1478-position model. The record is from RNAcentral.